Molecule: long non-coding RNA, 4226 nt
Organism: Ictalurus punctatus (channel catfish)
Lineage: Eukaryota; Metazoa; Chordata; Actinopteri; Siluriformes; Ictaluridae
Source: Ensembl
UAUAUAUAUAUAUAUAUAUAUAUAUACACACACACACCCCUUAAAACAUAAAAUAAUUGUAAGCUAUUUUUUUUAUUACAUUUUAUAUAUUUUAUUAUUUUUAAUCCCCUAACACUUAAAGUUAGAUCUUUAAACAGAGUUGUUUUUUUUUUUUCUCAAUUGUGCCCUGUUUUUUUUUCUGGAGAUGUCGAAAAUAGUCGUUAUUUAUACAAAACACUUUCUUAUAUACAAGAGUCAUUAUUUGCAGAAAUUGUACUGACAGGAGGGGCCUGGGUAAAGCAGGAAAUCUGAUUGGUUGAGGAAAUUGGCCAAACAGGGUGGAUGGGGAUUGAUUCCUGACUCCACCCAAUAUCAACACAGCUUUUUUGUGAUUACUGGGAACUACAGGAUCCCUGAUUUCAACUGGCUAAACAGGCCUGCCCCACUGCAUAACAACUGCAUUUCUCAACAGAAGCAAUCACAUAUAGGAAAAUAAGACAAACCAAACAGGAGACCAUAAAUAUUAAAAUGAAAAGCUGGAAGUCAUAUCAGUCCAUUUUGAGUAUUUCCAAAGUGGUUAGACAGUUAUUAUUAAAAAAAAAAAGUGCAUGAAAUGUCUGAACAAGUAUGAAUACUGUAUGUCCACAGAGAGAUUGGCACAGUCUUAAUGAGACCUUCAUAUACAUACCUUUGUGGUUUUCUGUGCAACAAUGAGAGGAACACUUUAAGCUGAAUUGAAUUAAUUGUGUGGCAGCCUGGGAAAACCCUUCGCAUGGUCAAAUUGGGACAUUUUUGAAAAAUAAGUUGUGAAAAUAUUACCUGAACUGAAAUUGGUAUGGUAUUGCACAUAUCUUGACCACAAAUAAGUUUGGUUACCCCCACAAGUGAAACAUUUUGUAUUUAAACAUAUAAUUCCAAAUUCCAGUGCAUGACGCCCAACAUGUCUACAUUUAUAACCUUAUCUACAGCCGAAUUUUAAAGAACCCAAUAGUUUGCAAUAUUCACAUCUGUCUCAGCAUCAUUCACAUCUGUCUCUGUCUCUUUACCCGGGGUAAACGUCACUCAGCAUUUUAACACAAGCCUCAUUGUCUUCACUUCACACAACUGAUCUCUGUUCACACUAACAUUAGUGAGCAAAUUCAACCACUUCUAUUAUGUUGGUUUAAAUGUUUUUUUUUAAUUAAUACCUUUUUAUUAGUUUAUUUAAACAUUUUAGAGCAAUCUUCGUCUUUUGUCAUCUGUACAUAGUGUGUAAGCACACUUCUUUGUUUUAAUGAUGACAUGAAGGCACAAGUGCAGGACAGUUUGACAGCCAGUAUCUUAUUAUAAAUAGAACUGAUUAAGCUAAUGACCGUUUUGCUCUGGAACAUAACUAUCCAAUCUGAUCAAAGUCUGACAUUCAUUUUGUGCGAGAACCACACUUAACUAUAGCGAGGUUUUAGACAGACUGACUGUGUUUGUUUAACCGGCUCCCCAACCAACAAGAUCCAACCAGCCUGAUCUUUACAGGCAGACAGACAGCCAGGGCAAAAUUAUGCUAAAUUAAAAGACCUCCAUGUCAUUUUUGGUAAACUAUAUUCUCUUAAGUCAAAGCAUGUUAUUGGGAGAAAAACAAGAUUUUUUUUUUCCAUAAUUGUUUGUUGUUGGGUUUUCCCAGCCACCACACAUAUAUUCUGUGGUGGGAUUGGAGUAGACAAACAGUGUACACACCUUUAAGCAAACCCGAGGUUCAGCUUCACUCAAACAACAAUGUCUGGAUUGUAAUUUAAGUGAUCACUUCUUUACGAGUUAUCCUUAUGCGAGUUAUCAAAUUACGUUCUGAUUACAUCACUUCCAACAGCUUACUAUUUUCCUCAUCUUAUACUUUCAAAGUAUAUUUUAUACUCUAAUCCUACUUAAUAUCCCUUAAAGCAGCUGCAGAGUGGACCACAUAAUGUGUGUGUGUGUGUGUGUGUGUGUGUGUGUGUGUGUGUGUGUGUGUGUGUGUGUUUUGUUUGUUUUUACUGCAAGCAUUAUCUCUUGAGCCUUGGUAUCAGUUUACUAUUGUUGACGACUUAAUAAAAUGAACGAGGACUUAAUCGAAGUGUAAAUCUUGGCCAUAAUUAAAACAUUACAUUAUUUCCCCUUAUCUGAAUUCCACUUUUCAAUAAUGAUAACAAUUUUAAAACAAUUUGGUGUGUAGGGAAAAGGCUGCGUGCCACGACAGAAACAUGGUGAAUUUGGUCAAUACAUAAGUUAACAUAUCCGUUAAUUUUUCUAAUAGUCUACACACUGAACAAGUGUUGAAAGGCAGCAAUAAUGAUUUAUUUUGUAAAUAGAGCUCUGAAGAUGUUUUCAUCCUGGGGCUACGAUGUGAAAGUCCUCACCAGAUUAGUUUCAGUGGCAUAGUUUUGAUCCAUGCUCUAAGUAUAUUAAAUUGUGUGCAAUCAUGUCUGUUAUUGAUACUACCACUGGCCUUUAAGACACCUCUGUGAUAAUAAAUGACAUGUGGAUAUACUAAUGCACCUAAACAUCUGACUACAUAUUGGACUGCAGAUUUGAUUUUGAUUCUAAAUCAUUCUAGAUAAUCACCGAUCCCUUUCAUUUCGAUUCCUGAAUAGCAAACUUUCCGAGCAGCACUGGAGCUUCUAAUCACAAGUGACUCCAAAGUCGACCCCUCGCUAUCCUUAACACACGUGUAUUUCUGUUUGGUGUAACAUUUGUUACCCGUUUAUCUCUCCUUUUGUUCUGCUGCUCCUCCCACUGAGCGAUUGUCUUCAAAUCUUUUUUUUUUAUAUAUAUACAUAUAUAUAUUUAUUCAUUUCUUUAUUCAAUUAGAUAUGACAUAUUUCUGUUCUAAUCAAUUAUAUAUUCACUUUAUCUUUAAAUAGAAAUAUAUAUCUAUAUGUAUAUCUAUAUCUAUAUAUAUGUCUAUAUAUAUAUAUAGAUAGAUAUUUUGUGAAGAAACAUUGUAAUAUAUUUUCUUUUUUCUUUUCUGUAUUGCAGGAGCCCUGAUGUAGUGUUUUGUCCAUUGAAGUCAGUGAAUAGUUUGUUUUUUUUAGAAUAGAAUUUGUGAACGUUAAGUUGGGCGUGGCUUUGGGACUCAGGUAGGUAAAGGGGAGGGAUAAUUAAUUAGGUAAUGAUCUAAUUAAAGAGAUAAUUAAGGGUACUUUCACAUAUGGAGUGUUAGUCCAUGUGAAAUAAACCCUGGUGCGUUCCUCCCCCCCCGCAGCGUGGUUCGUUUAGGCAGUUGAGAACACAGCAGUCGCAAUUGUACCAAAACAAAAAGUCAGCGCGUGUCUGUGAGAUGCCGUUUACAAAUGCAGUUCCACUGCAGCGGGAGAGCGAUUUGACCCUGAACCGACCCAACUGCAGGAAGUGAACUGGACAUGCCGUGUAUUUUGGGUUGGGGGCAACGUUUUUUUUUGUAGAUGUGAGCUGCUAAACUGAGCUGUGAGGUGCAAAUUGAGCCAAAGGACAGAGCUGUAGAGCUGCAAUAAUAUAAUGAGUUCUGGAUGUUUGAUCCAAUGUAAACAUUUUAAAAAAUAAAUAAAUAAAAAGAGAAAAAUGUGAUCUGGAUGUGAUACACAAAAUGUUUUAAAACUAAUUAUUUUAUAUAAUUAUCUAAUCAUUUAUUUAGCACUUGCACCAUGUGUUUUUACAUGCACCCGGCAAUUCCACUGCUGUAUUUCAGACCAGUGAAUGAAAGAAUAUUGACCAGUACAUGUUCAGCUCUACAUGCCCAUCAGCCAAUGCUUUUUGUUUUGUUUUGUUUUUUGCUUUUUUUUUAUUUACUUUUUGGUUCAAUUCAUUUUGUGCAGUGUGAAAUGUGCCUUGUACAAGGUUUGGUUGGCGUUUAAAGGACACGAGAGAGAGAGAGAGAAGCAUUAUCAGUUCUUCCCAUGCAGUUUGCCUCCACCCUUCACUGCAUUCAUCCCUGUCCAUGUCUGCAGACGUGGGUGAAUACAGCUCUCUGGUGGAGGGACAAACCAGUACUAACUACGGAAAUGCUAAAUGGCAUCAACGGAUAUCUUGCCAUUACAUACACUUGCCAUUCUCUGUGUUUCUGACCCCUCAUCUUUCAAUUCCCCACACACUUAUGCUCUGUCCAUCCAUAAAAAGCUGUGAGAUGUUUACAGUGGGGUGGGGGGUUGAAUCAAGCACAGAAACAGACAUCAGUACAGAAACCAUCCUUACAUAGUCAUAGUUAAGGGUUUUAGAGCGUUGGGGGACAGGUGGCAGAGAAAAAACAUAUAUAUAUAUAUAUA